This 439-nucleotide ribosomal RNA is filed under the name uncultured bacterium. Its description in RNAcentral is "partial 16S ribosomal RNA". It matches the Rfam family "Bacterial small subunit ribosomal RNA", at positions 338 to 795 of the family's 1533-position model. The record is from RNAcentral.
CCUACGGGAGGCAGCAGUGGGGAAUAUUGCACAAUGGGGGAAACCCUGAUGCAGCGACGCCGCGUGAGUGAAGAAGUAUUUCGGUAUGUAAAGCUCUAUCAGCAGGGAAGAAAAUGACGGUACCUGAUUAAGAAGCCACGGCUAACUACGUGCCAGCAGCCGCGGUAAUACGUAGGGGGCAAGCGUUAUCCGGAUUGAUUGGGUUUAAAGGGUGCGUAGGCGGAAGGUUAGGUCAGCGGUCAAAUGUCGGUGCUCAACACUGGCCUGCCGUUGAAACUGGUCUUCUUGAGUGAGCGAGAGGUAGGCGGAAUGCGUGGUGUAGCGGUGAAAUGCAUAGAGAUCACGCAGAACUCCGAUUGCGAAGGCAGCAUACCGGCGCUCAACUGACGCUGAGGCACGAAAGCGUGGGGAUCGAACAGGAUUAGAUACCCUAGUAGUC